AUUGAACGCUGGCGGCAGGCUUAACACAUGCAAGUCGAGCGAGCGGCGGACGGGUGAGUAAUGUCUGGGAAACUGCCUGAUGGAGGGGGAUAACUACUGGAAACGGUAGCUAAUACCGCAUACCAUCAGAUGUGCCCAGAUGGGAUUAGCUAGUAGGUGGGGUAAUGGCUCACCUAGGCGACGAUCCCUAGCUGGUCUGAGAGGAUGACCAGCCAGAGUGAAACUUAGACACGGUCCAGACUCCUACGCGAGGCAGCAGUGUGGAAUAUUGCACAAUGGGAGCAAGCCUGAUACAGCCAUGCCGCGUGUGUGAAGAGGGCCUUCGGGUUGUAAAGCACUUUCAGCGAGGAGGCGUUACUCGCAGAAGAAGCACCGGCUAACUCAGUGCCAGCAGCCGCGAUAAUUC
This 406-nucleotide ribosomal RNA is filed under the name uncultured bacterium. RNAcentral describes it as "partial 16S ribosomal RNA". It matches the Rfam family "Bacterial small subunit ribosomal RNA", at positions 30 to 526 of the family's 1533-position model. The record is from RNAcentral.